Molecule: transfer RNA, 75 nt
Filed under: marine sediment metagenome
Description: tRNA-Met
Rfam family: tRNA
About the family: Transfer RNA (tRNA) molecules are approximately 80 nucleotides in length. Their secondary structure includes four short double-helical elements and three loops (D, anti-codon, and T loops).
Source: RNAcentral
AUCGGGGUAGCACAGUCUGGCUAAUGCGCUGCGCUCAUAACGCAGAGACCGAUGGUUCAAAUCCAUCCCCCGGUA